AACGAACGCUGGCGGCAGGCUUAACACAUGCAAGUCGAACGCCCCGCAAGGGGAGUGGCAGACGGGUGAGUAACGCGUGGGAAUCUACCCUUUUCUACGGAAUAACGCAUGGAAACGUGUGCUAAUACCGUAUGAGCCCUUCGGGGGAAAGAUUUAUCGGGAAAGGAUGAGCCCGCGUUGGAUUAGCUAGUUGGUGGGGUAAAGGCCUACCAAGCGACGAUCCAUAGCUGGUCUGAGAGGAUGAUCAGCCACAUUGGGACUGAGACACGGCCCAAACUCCUACGGGGAGGCAGCAGUGGGGAAUAUUGGACAAUGGGCGCAAGCCUGAUCCAGCCAUGCCGCGUGAGUGAUGAAGGCCUUAGGGUUGUAAAGCUCUUUCACCGGUGAAGAUAAUGACGGUAACCGGAGAAGAAGCCCCGGCUAACUUCGUGCCAGCAGCCGCGGUAAUACGAAGGGGGCUAGCGUUGUUCGGAAUUACUGGGCGUAAAGCGCACGUAAGGC
RNAcentral lists this ribosomal RNA (501 nucleotides) under uncultured Ensifer sp. RNAcentral describes it as "bacterial SSU rRNA". It matches the Rfam family "Bacterial small subunit ribosomal RNA", at positions 28 to 577 of the family's 1533-position model. The record is from RNAcentral. Lineage: Bacteria; Pseudomonadati; Pseudomonadota; Alphaproteobacteria; Hyphomicrobiales; Rhizobiaceae.